This 494-nucleotide ribosomal RNA is filed under the name uncultured bacterium. RNAcentral's name for it is "bacterial SSU rRNA". It matches the Rfam family "Bacterial small subunit ribosomal RNA", at positions 24 to 518 of the family's 1533-position model. The record is from RNAcentral.
UCAGGAUGAACGCUGGCGGCGUGCUUAACACAUGCAAGUCGAACGAGGCUUGGCAGCGGAAGUUCCGGAUGGAAGCAGCCAUGACCGAGUGGCGGACGGGUGAGUAACGCGUGGGGAACCUGCCCCAUUCCGGGGAUACCAGUUGGAAACGACUGUUAAUACCGCAUAAGCGCACGGGAAGACAUCUUCCAGUGUGAAAAAACUGAGGUGGAAUGGGAUGGCCCCGCGUCUGAUUAGCCAGUUGGCAGGGUAACGGCCUACCAAAGCGACGAUCAGUAGCCGGCCUGAGAGGGCGACCGGCCACAUUGGGACUGAGACACGGCCCAAACUCCUACGGGAGGCAGCAGUGGGGAAUAUUGCACAAUGGGGGAAACCCUGAUGCAAGCGACGCCGCGUGAGUGAAGAAGUAUUUCGGUAUGUAAAGCUCUAUCAGCAGGGAAGAAGAUGACGGUACCUGCACAAGAAGCCCCGGCUAACUACGUGCCAGCCGCCGC